GACGAACGCUGGCGGCGUGCCUAAUACAUGCAAGUAGAACGCUGAAGGAGGAGCUUGCUUCUCUGGAUGAGUUGCGAACGGGUGAGUAACGCGUAGGUAACCUGCCUGGUAGUGGGGGAUAACUAUUGGAAACGAUAGCUAAUACCGCAUAAUAGCAGUUGUUGCAUGAUAACUGUUUGAAAGGUGCAAUUGCACCGCUACCAGAUGGACCUGCGUUGUAUUAGCUAGUUGGUGGGGUAACGGCUCACCAAGGCGACGAUACAUAGCCGACCUGAGAGGGUGAUCGGCCACACUGGGACGGAGACACGGCCCAGACGCCUACGGGAGGCAGCAGUAGGGAAUCUUCGGCAAUGGACGGAAGUCUGACCGAGCAACGCCGCGUGAGUGAAGAAGGUUUUCGGAUCGGAAAGCUCGGUUGUAAGAGAAGAACGAGUGUGAGAGUGGAAAGUUCACACUGUGACGGUAUCUUACCAGAAAGGGACGGCUAACUACGUG
RNAcentral lists this ribosomal RNA (495 nucleotides) under uncultured bacterium. RNAcentral describes it as "partial 16S ribosomal RNA". It matches the Rfam family "Bacterial small subunit ribosomal RNA", at positions 28 to 507 of the family's 1533-position model. The record is from RNAcentral.